GUAUAUUGUUAUAGGCACAAAGGCCCACUUAUUGCAUUCUAUAACAUACAUUAGGGUAUUUGAAUAAACAUAGACCCAGAAAUAUAAGGAAAGUCAAUAAAGUCAAUCCCAAAACCUUAAUACUAGGAUUAAGAAAUUUGUCCAGGUCUACAAAAGGUGCACAGGUGGAGAUAUAAAGAUGACAGAUGUGCACAUGUUCAUUAAAGAACCAGCAACAAUCUAUCAGGUUUACUUCAAUAAUGAUCCUUCCGCAGGUUCACCUACGGAAA
RNAcentral lists this unclassified non-coding RNA (269 nucleotides) under uncultured fungus. RNAcentral describes it as "sequence contains ITS1". Lineage: Eukaryota; Fungi. The record is from RNAcentral.